Molecule: non-coding RNA, 21 nt
Organism: Caenorhabditis elegans
Lineage: Eukaryota; Metazoa; Nematoda; Chromadorea; Rhabditida; Rhabditidae
Source: Ensembl
UUAAUCUGCGUGUCAUCGUCA